RNAcentral lists this ribosomal RNA (496 nucleotides) under uncultured bacterium. RNAcentral describes it as "partial 16S ribosomal RNA". It matches the Rfam family "Bacterial small subunit ribosomal RNA", at positions 29 to 507 of the family's 1533-position model. The record is from RNAcentral.
AUGAACGCUGGCGGCGUGCCUAAUACAUGCAAGUCGAGCGAACAGACGAGGAGCUUGCUCCUCUGACGUUAGCGGCGGACGGGUGAGUAACACGUGGAUAACCUACCUAUAAGACUGGGAUAAUUUCGGGAAACCGGAGCUAAUACCGGAUAAUAUAUUGAACCGCAUGGUUCAAUAGUGAAAGACGGUUUUGCUGUCACUUAUAGAUGGAUCCGCGCCGCAUUAGCUAGUUGGUAAGGUAACGGCUUACCAAGGCAACGAUGCGUAGCCGACCUGAGAGGGUGAUCGGCCACACUGGAACUGAGACACGGUCCAGACUCCUACGGGAGGCAGCAGUAGGGAAUCUUCCGCAAUGGGCGAAAGCCUUACGGAGCAACGCCGCGUGAGUGAUGAAGGUCUUCGGAUCGUAAAACUCUGUUAUUAGGGAAGAACAAAUGUGUAAGUAACUAUGCACGUCUUGACGGUACCUAAUCAGAAAGCCACGGCUAACUACGUG